AUACGGAGGGUGCAAGCGUUAUCCGGAUUCAUUGGGUUUAAAGGGUGCGCAGGCGGAAUGAUAAGUCAGUGGUGAAAUCCUACAGCUUAACUGUAGAACUGCCAUUGAUACUGUCAUUCUUGAGUACACUUGAAGUGGGCGGAAUGUAUCAUGUAGCGGUGAAAUGCCUAGAUAUGAUACAGAACUCCGAUAGCGAAGGCAGCUCACUAAAUUGUAACUGACGCUCAGGCACGAAAGCGUGGGGAGCAAACAGGAUUAGAUACCCCAGUAGUCC
RNAcentral lists this ribosomal RNA (274 nucleotides) under uncultured bacterium. RNAcentral describes it as "partial 16S ribosomal RNA". It matches the Rfam family "Bacterial small subunit ribosomal RNA", at positions 523 to 796 of the family's 1533-position model. The record is from RNAcentral.